CAUGUUGAUUUUCUUCUCACAGCUCCAGGACCCCUUUGGAGAUACCAGAAUCCGUAGACCCUCAAGUCCCAAAUAGAAAAUAGCAUAGAACAGUCAGCCCUCUGCAUCCGCAGGACCAGGUGCCCUACUCUGGAAACAGGUGCUUUCUCUUCCAACCAGCAUUUUCUGUGCACAUGCCAGGUGCCGACACUGUUCUGAGCGCUGAAGGAUCCAAAAUGAAUAUGAUCCUUGGUUGAAAUAGUUUAUAGUCUAGAAGGAAAUGACAGCCACCAAUCACACUACCCGUGAGCGCAGGAAGGGCGCGGUCACAGGCACCUGAUGAGAGGAGGGGCUUCAGGAGAUGAACCUGAGCUGAGUCCUGAUGCAGGUGAUGCCCUGGCAGAAUUGAGAGCCCCGUGGGGAAGGGCCAUGUAAGCAGCACGGAGGCCUGCGGGGCCCGUGAUGUGACUGGAGGAUGAAGGCAGGGACGGAUCAAGAGCCGUCCAAAAGGACAGGAGGUCAGGACAGAGCAUCAGCUUGCAGGUGCCCUGGAGGUUCUGUCCCCAACUCCAAAGGGCUCUUUGGUUUUAUCCUUCAGGUGGUGAGACACAGGAAGGGGUUUAAGCCUAUCCUCAGUUACAUUCCAAGCCUGGAUCAUCUCACAGAGGCGGUCUGAGAUCUUCAAAUCCUUGUAAAAAGGGAAAAAAACCACCAUCUGGUCUUGAAGAAAACCAAAGGCUGCAAAGAGACGCCAAGCGUGGGCAGACUAACAAUGCCCAGAGCGAACUUGGCCGGGGGCAAUGAGACUCAUAAACACUAAUGUGUUGCUUUAACUUGUCCUUGGCAUCAGGAGACCUCAGGGAAACCGCCCAGCCGGCUCAUUCUCCUUUGUCCCUGCCUCUUCCUCUUCUUUCUCACCCUGGCCUCUUCCUUUGCUCUGCUACCAUUUUUUUAAUAGACCAGCCGAUGGUGGGAAAUGUGCUCUGUUUAGAGCCUGGAAAGUCAGGAAGGAAACCACUGGAUUAAACUGAACUCUGAGUGUCAUGCUCACGGCAACCCGCCCCGCUCCGCCCCGGCCGCUCCGAGUUUAGGGGGCUCAUGCGGAGCCCGUGUCGGUUUCAGGGCACAGCAGGACGUCCACGUCGCGCCUGCCCACCCUCCCCGAAGCCGGCUCGGGCCCAGCCCCGGCCGCGGCCUGAGUCACAUGCGCUGGAUGGUCCAGACCCGGGAGGCGGAGGAGGAUGUGGUGCCACGCAGCCAAGUGUCCCCGUCUGACCUCUUGCUCUUUUUCUGUCCCCAGGGAUAGGUGGAGCUUUCCUGCCCACAGAACUGAACUUCCGUUUCCCUUCCUUCCCAAGGCUGCCCUCCUGCCCAGCCCCGGGGAGAACGCGACGGAGUGUCUCGGGCCUCAGUCUACAGCAUCCCUUUUUUCUCAAAACCUAGGGCUUUGACGGGCCACCGGGACACUGCAGGUUGAAAGGCUAGCGGCGUCCCCUCCUCUGCUGGUACCUUGUGUAUUUGUGUAUUGGCGCAUCCCGCCUCCCUCCGGGUGAGGCUCAGGCCCUGGCAGGACCCUGUGAGCCUGCCCCGCUGGGAGCAUCUCUGCAACCCAAGCUCACCCUGGCCAGACCUGGGAGCCCCUGGCUGGCUCUUCCAACCGCUUGCAGACCCAGAGGAAACCCCGCCCCUCCGGGCGUGACUCCGCCCCCACAGCGACACCGUCCAGAGGGACCAGGGGACACAACCUGGAGGUGAGGGGAGGUCAUGGCUGCGGAGCUCCCUGGAAGCACAGAGGGAAAGGAGACCCAAGCGCCUGCUCUGGGUCGUCCCCGGGCUCCGCUGUUCCCCAGGUCCUGCCAGGCUGUCCCUGUCACCAAGAACCCCGCGGUGUUUUUCCCGAAGCCGUGACUCUCUGAACAAGUGAUAUGCUUUCCUUUCCCUUCCUUUUCAUAGCACCUUCCAGAAGCACUAGCAGGUAAGCGCUGCCCACGACAGUUUGACCAACAGUGUCCCGCUGGCCUCAGAGUAACACUGACCCAUUCAUUUGGUUGGUUAUUCCCCGCUGGCCUGGGCAGGUUUAUAAUCACCUCUCUGUCUAAAGCCCCCAAAGAAAACCAUUCCUCAAUCCUACCUCGGAGGAGAGCACCUUCAGAUCUGCAGAUCCCCGCGAAACGUUUCAUCAGAAGGUGAGCCAUCGCCGCACGACCACCGAGAGGAAAGAAGUUCCCACUGGGACUCGGCAGCAUUCGGAGUUCCCGGGCUUAACCGACACGGCUGGGCAGGCAUCAAAUCUGCAUCCCAGAGCUCCAGAGAGGCCACCAAUCCUGUUGCACCACAGUAGGAACUCCACUAGCCUUCAAUUUCUAAAGUGACCUGGGUGAGUGAUGGGGUUUAGGCUUGGAAGUGGAACUAGAGGUUAGUAGAUGGACAGUGGCAACUGUGGGUCUCAGCACCUUAUUCAGGUGAGUUACUAUUAAGUGACCAAGCCUGGGCAGGGCAGGACUGGGUUCUAGGUGCAUCUCAGUAUAUUAGAGAAAACAAGGACAGUGUAAUUUUUAAGUACCUUUUAAAUAAUUUCAGUGAUCUUAACCAUAGAUGCUGUGGCAAAGAUAAUGUAAAACAAAUGAGCAAUUUUACCCACGGGGGGGGGGGGCAGGAGGGUUCUUCCAGAAACUGCUAGAUCCCUAGCUCAUGUGAAUGCCUGGAACCCCGUUCCCUGUCCCCCCAGUUGAUAUGGACUCACACACACUUGUGCAUGUGCACACACACACGUGCACACAUGCACACACAUGUCAAGAGCCAAAAGCUCUGGCUGUAGGACUGGCACUCACCUUGCUGUGUCCAGGUUUGGGAUCUGGGGUCUCUGACUCCCUGCUUGGAACUGCAUGAGCCCUGAUCCUUGGCGCCUGCCUGAUGGAGACAAGGCUGAUCUGAGACUCCUGUCCUGUAUGUUGCAGGGUUUUCACCCCAGCUAGGUUUGCUCCUUGCAACGUGACUUCUGUUUGCAGAACUUUCCUGCCCAGCAGACUCUUAAUUCCAUGUUCUACUGGCACUGCACCCAGGUGUCGAGUGUGUCUUGGUGAGGCAUCUCGCUCCAGGUGGGGCACCCACAGUGAGUGCCACCAGUACCCUCAACAGAGGCAGGCUGUGCCUUUCAUUCAUGCUUCACCGGGUGGUGAGGAGGCUGGCAGGUGCUGGGUGACAGUACUUAAUACCAAUUACCUAUUCCAAUGGUUUCCUCCGUCCCCCUUUUCCUAACUUACCCGUGGCUAUAAAUAUACCAUAUAUAGAUAACUUGGAGGAUUCAGUGAGUAAUACUUACAUAAGCUCCACGAAAGCCAGAACUAGUAUCUCCCAAGGCCCGAUGCUUGGCACAUGGGCAGUGUUCAAAAAAUACUUGUUGGGUGAGUGAAUGUGAGUAAUGCAGUGAUCCCUCCCGCUUUAUGCUGUUCCCUCCACGCUGACGGAUCACGUAGCACAGUUUCCCAAUCCGGCCCCCAUCCCUCUCUGCCUUGGCCUGCGGAAAGGACGAGCGUUUCCUCUUGGAGAGUUUCGUACCCAGCAUCAGGGCGCUUCCCCUCAAGUCAGUCCCCGUAAGCAGGCCUGCUACUGACAGGCCGCCCUGCUGGCUCCGUGUCCCGUAGGGGAACACAGGCUGCGGUUUCGUUCGGCCUCUUGGCCCGAUGGCCGCACGGCAUCUCCGGCGGAGCGAGGGCGCGGUGCCGGGUGUGUCCUGCGCAUGCUCGCUCCAGCCCCAAGUUCCUUUCUGAAGGUGAACAUCCCCGACCUCAGGGCCAGUGUAUCCGCGAGGCCCAUGAAGCCUCUUAAAGACCCACAAAAAGGUUUUAAUUUUCUUUUGAAAUCAGAAGAAAAGGGAGAUAAUAACACCUGUAUACGAAUGAUUCCAAUCUGGAUUAUGUUCAUCUUUAUACCAACACAGUCGUUAGAUACUUUCUUUUUUUCUUUUUUGGCUGCCUCCCCCCGCCCCCCGCCCCCAGGCAUACACAGUUCCGGAGCCAGGGAUCAGAUCUGAGCCACUGUCUCAACCCAAAGGGCAGUUUUGGCAACACUGCUGGAUCCUUAACCCAUGGUGCCCAGCUAGGGCUCAAACCUGCAUCCCAGAGCUCCCAAGAUGCCACCCAUCCCGUUGCGCCACCGUGGGAACCUUUUCUGCCAUAAAAUAAAAUUCUUAUUUUAUUUUUUUAAAUGGAGGAAGGGGCCUGUGAAAGUCACAGCGGGGCCCUGAGCGUCCUGAGCAGAACCGCAGAGCUCGGCGAGCCCUCGCUGCCGGGGCCGGCUGCUCCCUCAGACACCUUUGCUCUGCGGGCAGGAAGCCGCCUUCCAGGGAGGCACAGGGCCUCCCGGCCUCCCAGCCUUCUCACUAAGGCAAACGCUGGUGCAGGACACGCUGGCCCUCCCUCCUGGACCCAAACAGGAAGAGCACACGACCCCACUCUUCUCCAGGUGGACAAACCCUCAUGUGACCUCGGCCCCUGACUCUCAGCUCAUCCAUGACUUCAUCCCCUUUCCCCUCAAAAGUCAAGCUGCAGCCCGACCUUCCCUCAGACUGGCAGAAAGAUCAGGCAUGACGUCACCGCCCCCACCCUCAUCUCCCACCCCCAGGGCCGGUGACACAUUUUCACCCCAGGGCUUCUCCAGUGUGGCUCUGCCCCAGGGUGUGGGUGUCUGGCUGGCCGCUGCUGCUCUUCCUCUCAGCCCGGAGCCAGAGGGAGGCCCGGGAACUGUGACUCAGCAGGUGGCGGCAGCACUUGUUCAGGGCUCUGCGUUGAAUAAGGAGUUUGCAGGCAAGUCGGGAGGACAAGUGAGCCAACUCACAAAGAGAAGCUGAAAAGCAAAAGGGGAAAUCCAGGGCUGACAAAUUCCUAGAAAAAAAAAAAAA
RNAcentral lists this long non-coding RNA (4879 nucleotides) under Sus scrofa (pig). Its description in RNAcentral is "lncRNA (ENSSSCG00060018816.1)". The record is from RNAcentral. Lineage: Eukaryota; Metazoa; Chordata; Mammalia; Artiodactyla; Suidae.